Molecule: ribosomal RNA, 253 nt
Filed under: uncultured bacterium
Lineage: Bacteria
Description: partial 16S ribosomal RNA
Rfam family: Bacterial small subunit ribosomal RNA
Source: RNAcentral
UACGUAGGGUGCGAGCGUUAAUCGGAAUUACUGGGCGUAAAGCGUGCGCAGGCGGUUUUGUAAGCCAGAUGUGAAAGCCCCGGGCUUAACCUGGGAAUGGCAUUUGGGACUGCAAGGCUGGAGUGUGGCAGAGGAGACUGGAAUUCCUGGUGUAGCAGUGAAAUGCGUAGAUAUCUGGAGGAACACCGGUGGCGAAGGCGGCAUCCUGGACCGAGAUUGACGCUGAGGCGCGAAAGCCAGGGGAGCAAACGGG